This 253-nucleotide ribosomal RNA is filed under the name uncultured bacterium. RNAcentral's name for it is "partial 16S ribosomal RNA". It matches the Rfam family "Bacterial small subunit ribosomal RNA", at positions 524 to 776 of the family's 1533-position model. The record is from RNAcentral.
UACAGAGGUCCCAAGCGUUGUUCGGAUUCACUGGGCGUAAAGGGUGCGUAGGCGGUCGGGUAAGUCUGAUGUGAAAUCUCACAGCUUAACUGUGAAACUGCAUUGGAUACUAUUCGGCUUGAGAGUUGGAGGGGGGACUGGAAUUCUUGGUGUAGCAGUGAAAUGCGUAGAUAUCAAGAGGACCACCAGUGGCGAAGGCGAGUCCCUGGACAACUUCUGACGCUGAGGCACGAAAGCUAGGGGAGCAAACAGG